CCUACGGGAGGCUGCAGUGGGGGAUAUUGCACAAUGGGGGAAACCCUGAUGCAGCGACGCCGCGUGGGUGAAGAAGCGCCUCGGCGCGUAAAGCCCUGUCAGCAGGGAAGAAAAUGACGGUACCUGAAGAAGAAGCCCCGGCUAACUACGUGCCAGCAGCCGCGGUAAUACGUAGGGGGCAAGCGUUAUCCGGAUUUACGGGGUGUAAAGGGGGCGCAGACGGCGAUGCAAGCCAGGAGUGAAAGACCGGGGCCCAACCCCGGGACUGCGCGUGGAACUGCGUGGCUAGAGUGCAGGAGGGGCAGGCGGAAUUCCUGGUGUAGCGGUGAAAUGCGUAGAUAUCAGGAGGAACACCGGUGGCGAAGGCGGCCUGCUGGACUGCAACUGACGUUGAGGCCCGAAAGCGUGGGGAGCAAACAGGAUUAGAUACCCUAGUAGUC
Molecule: ribosomal RNA, 440 nt
Filed under: uncultured bacterium
Lineage: Bacteria
Description: partial 16S ribosomal RNA
Rfam family: Bacterial small subunit ribosomal RNA
Source: RNAcentral